Long non-coding RNA from Sphaeramia orbicularis (orbiculate cardinalfish), 452 nucleotides. RefSeq lists it as uncharacterized. The transcript is spliced from 4 exons. NCBI's taxonomy places the organism in Eukaryota, Metazoa, Chordata, Actinopteri, Kurtiformes, Apogonidae. The record is from RefSeq and is a predicted model, not a curated record.
GAACCCCGUAGAAAGCGGAGGAGAGUGAAGAGAAACAGGUCGAAAAUGGUCUUCAAAGAAAUCAAACAACUCUGAACCCAGUUUUUAAUCUAUCAGGAGGAGGACCUCAUUCCUGGACUGGACUGGACUGACAUCAGGUAAUGGUUUUCCAGCAGAUGAUGCCUGUUAACAACGUUGUGACAUCAGUCUGUAUGUUGAUGUUGUCCAAAUGAUGGCGCUAUCUCAGUCAUUUAUUCUGACAUCAUUUCCUGAUUUAGAAACUGACAUAUUUAUAAAGGUUUUUUCUUUUAAUUGGAAACAAAGUCAUAAGUGUUACACUUGAGAAGCGAAUUGUGUUUUUGCUUUUAAAAAUUCUAAAGUUUUUAUAAUUGUUCGACCAUUUGGUUUGUUGUAGGUGUUUAAUCUCAUUGUUAACCUGUGUAUAUUGUCUUUUAAAAUAAACAGUUAUUAUA